AAUGAGUUUGAAGCGUUGGUUUUGUAUGACGUGAAUCCUAUCAACCAAUCAGAAAUAGCGCGGGCGAAAUGAAAAAAGAAAAACGCGAUUGGAAAUGGAUGGUUAAUAAAAUUCAGAAUAUUGCAAAACAAGGACAGUGUACAGCGUGUUUAAAUCUUCCAGAAAUGCAGCUGUGCCCUCUUUACAGCAAUUAUAGAUGAAGCAAAGUAUGGUAGCAAGUAAUAUAGAUAUACACACAUGCCGAAGAAGAUUGUAAUAUCUGGAGAAAACAUUUCCUACGUCACGAAAUAGACACCGUCACACUGGUCUACGUAUCAUUCCUAUAGAUGAUUGAUAUAUUUAACUGCUUUUAAGAACAGUGUUUGAAUGACGAAUUUCUGUGAAUACGGAUUUUUAAUUUUAAUGAUUAUUAUUAAAACUUUCUGUAAUUAUCAAUUUGUGCUAUGGACUCAUUUUCCUAAAAUAAUAUGUGAAUGUUAACACGAACAAAUGAUAUGAAUAUCUUUAAAAUGUUUUAUGGGUGUAAUAUAAGUGGCUCAUAUGAAUCAUUGUUAAGAUAAAUCGAAAAGAACUUCAAGUUAGCAUAGUUUGUUCCAGAUUUAAACAACAUGCAAUUCAUAAAUGUUACGGCUUGAAAAUAUCGAAAUGUACAUGUAUAAUUCGAUCUCUGAAGAAAAUAUCGCGGUGCAGAUGUUCUGCACUGUGAUACGUAUUUCAUGACUCUGUAUCGCAACAUACCGGUAUAUCGCCUUUCCGUUGCAACGCUACAUUAAUGUGUCCCUCUGGAAUAAGGUUACAACAAUAUAUGACUAUUGUAGCGAAGACAUGUUUAUUUUGUUAUAUAUAUGUAUACAUAUUGAAUAUAUGUUUAUGAAAUAAUAAAUAUUUAAGAGUGACUCGAUUUGGUUUUUACUUUAUUAUUUGAAAUACUCCAAUUUUGAAGAUAAAGUUCUUAAGCAUAUGA
Molecule: long non-coding RNA, 964 nt
Organism: Ruditapes philippinarum (Manila clam)
Lineage: Eukaryota; Metazoa; Mollusca; Bivalvia; Venerida; Veneridae
Exons: 3
Source: RefSeq, a predicted model, not a curated record